AGGGAAUCUUCCGCAAUGGACGAAAGUCUGACGGAGCAACGCCGCGUGAGUGAUGAAGGUUUUCGGAUCGUAAAACUCUGUUGUUAGGGAAGAACAAGUACCGUUCGAAUAGGGCGGUACCUUGACGGUACCUAACCAGAAAGCCACGGCUAACUACGUGCCAGCAGCCGCGGUAAUACGUAGGUGGCAAGCGUUGUCCGGAAUUAUUGGGCGUAAAGCGCGCGCAGGCGGUUUCUUAAGUCUGAUGUGAAAGCCCCCGGCUCAACCGUGGAGGGUCAUUGGAAACUGGAAGACUUGAGUGCAGAAGAGGAGAGUGGAAUUCCACGUGUAGCGGUGAAAUGCGUAGAGAUGUGGAGGAACACCAGUGGCGAAGGCGACUCUCUGGUCUGUAACUGACGCUGAGGCGCGAAAGCGUGGGGAGCAAAC
This 426-nucleotide ribosomal RNA is filed under the name uncultured bacterium. RNAcentral's name for it is "bacterial SSU rRNA". It matches the Rfam family "Bacterial small subunit ribosomal RNA", at positions 356 to 773 of the family's 1533-position model. The record is from RNAcentral.